CCUACGGGAGGCAGCAGUGGGGAAUAUUGGGCAAUGGGCGCAAGCCUGACCCAGCAACGCCGCGUGAAGGAAGAAGGCUCUCGGGUUGUAAACUUCUUUUCUCAAGGACGUAGCAAGUGACGGUACCUGCGUAAUAAGCCACGGCUAACUACGUGCCAGCAGCCGCGGUAAUCCGGCGGUGGCAAGCGUUAUGCGGAUUUACUGGGUGUAAAGGGCGUGUAGGCGGGACUGCAAGUCAGAGGUGAAAACCACGGGCUCAACCUGUGGCCUGCAUUUGAAACUGUAGUUCUUGAGUACUGGAGAGGCAGACGGAAUGCGUGGUGUAGCGGUGAAAUGCGUAGAUAUUAGGCGGAACACCAGUGGCGAAGGCAGUCUGCUGGACAGCAACUGACGCUGAGGCGCGAAAGCGUGGGGAGCAAACAGGAUUAGAUACCCGAGUAGUC
This 443-nucleotide ribosomal RNA is filed under the name uncultured bacterium. RNAcentral describes it as "partial 16S ribosomal RNA". It matches the Rfam family "Bacterial small subunit ribosomal RNA", at positions 338 to 795 of the family's 1533-position model. The record is from RNAcentral.